This 72-nucleotide transfer RNA is filed under the name Candidatus Curtissbacteria bacterium. RNAcentral's name for it is "tRNA-Arg". It matches the Rfam family "tRNA". From Rfam's summary of the family: Transfer RNA (tRNA) molecules are approximately 80 nucleotides in length. Lineage: Bacteria; Candidatus Curtissiibacteriota. The record is from RNAcentral.
GCCCUUGUAGGCUAAUGGAAAGACCACAGGAUUCCGGAUCCUGUUGUGUGGGUUCGAGUCCCGCCAAGGGCG